This 258-nucleotide ribosomal RNA is filed under the name uncultured bacterium. Its description in RNAcentral is "partial 16S ribosomal RNA". It matches the Rfam family "Bacterial small subunit ribosomal RNA", at positions 96 to 354 of the family's 1533-position model. The record is from RNAcentral.
CGGCGGACGGGUGAGUAACGCGUGGGCAACCUGCCUUGCACAGGGGGAUAACAGUUAGAAAUGACUGCUAAUACCGCAUAAGACCACAGCCCCGCAUGGGGCGGAGGUAAAAACCGAGGUGGUGCAAGAUGGGCCCGCGUCUGAUUAGGCAGUUGGUGGGGUAAGGGCCCACCAAACCGACGAUCAGUAGCCGACCUGAGAGGGCGACCGGCCACAUUGGGACUGAGACACGGCCCAAACUCCUACGGAAGGCAGCAG